GCGGGAGUAGCGAAGCGGCCAAACGCGAUAGACUCAAGAUCUAUUCCCUUAGUGGGUCCGCAGGUUCGAAUCCUGCCUCCCGCA
Molecule: transfer RNA, 84 nt
Filed under: Candidatus Woesearchaeota archaeon
Lineage: Archaea; Nanobdellati; Candidatus Woesearchaeota
Description: tRNA-Leu
Rfam family: tRNA
About the family: Transfer RNA (tRNA) molecules are approximately 80 nucleotides in length. Their secondary structure includes four short double-helical elements and three loops (D, anti-codon, and T loops). Further hydrogen bonds mediate the characteristic L-shaped molecular structure. tRNAs have two regions of fundamental functional importance: the anti-codon, which is responsible for specific mRNA codon recognition, and the 3' end, to which the tRNAs corresponding amino acid is attached (by aminoacyl-tRNA synthetases). tRNAs cope with the degeneracy of the genetic code in two manners: having more than one tRNA (with a specific anti-codon) for a particular amino acid; and 'wobble' base-pairing, i.e. permitting non-standard base-pairing at the 3rd anti-codon position.
Source: RNAcentral